AGCAGCUGCGGUAAUUCCAGCUCCAAUAGCGUAUAUUAAAGUUGUUGCAGUUAAAAAGCUCGUAGUUGAAUUUCGGGGUUCUACCGUUGGUCGGGCUUUGUCUGUACUGAUGUGUAGAAUUUCUACCUUCUGGGGAACCAUCAUGUUAUUAAUUUAGCGUGGUGGGAAACCAGGACCUUUACCUUGAAAAAAUUAGAGUGUUCAAAGCAGGCUUAUGUCUGAAUACAUUAGCAUGGAAUAAUAGAAUAGGACGGUGGUCCUGUUUUGUUGGUUUCUGAAUCACCGUAAUGAUUAAUAGGGAUAGUUGGGGGCAUUAGUAUUCAAUUGUCAGAGGUGAAAUUCUUGGAUUUAUUGAAGACUAACUUCUGCGAAAGCAUUUGCCAAGGAUGUUUUCAUUAAUCAAGAACGAAAGUUAGGGGAUCGAAGACGAUCAGAUACCGUCGUAGUCUUAACCAUAAACUAUGCCGACUAGGGAUCGGACGAUGUUAAUUUUUCUUGACUCGUUCGGCGCCUUACGGGA
This 520-nucleotide ribosomal RNA is filed under the name uncultured Scutellospora. RNAcentral's name for it is "SSU rRNA". It matches the Rfam family "Eukaryotic small subunit ribosomal RNA", at positions 569 to 1095 of the family's 1831-position model. Lineage: Eukaryota; Fungi; Glomeromycota; Glomeromycetes; Diversisporales; Gigasporaceae. The record is from RNAcentral.